Long non-coding RNA from Alosa sapidissima (American shad), 302 nucleotides. RefSeq lists it as uncharacterized. The transcript is spliced from 3 exons. Lineage: Eukaryota; Metazoa; Chordata; Actinopteri; Clupeiformes; Clupeidae. The record is from RefSeq and is a predicted model, not a curated record.
UUGAACACAAACUUUUAUUGCUUUGAACUGAAUGCUUCGUCAGACAUGGACAACACAUGUAACGACAACGACAAGAUGGCGAGCCUACCCAACGAGACAAGAUGGAUUCUACUACACACAGAGGAUUAGCCGGACUGGAAGCAUAAGGUCCUCCAUAUGAGUGGAGAAAUUGCAACCAAGCAGGCCCAAACGGUGAUGGAGUCUCCACCUUGCUGAACAGACAGGCUCCUGGCAGAUCCAACCAUCUGGAACCGUCUGAAAUGUCAUACUGCCUUUAAGCGGAAGCACCAAUAACAGGGAGC